GAGAAGUGAGGAGAAUUCUAUCACAGUCUGAUUUUCUGUGACUGCUAAAGAUCCAACUCUGAUCUCACUCCGCAA
This is a small nucleolar RNA of Callorhinchus milii (elephant shark), 75 nucleotides long. RefSeq annotates it as small nucleolar RNA SNORD19. Lineage: Eukaryota; Metazoa; Chordata; Chondrichthyes; Chimaeriformes; Callorhinchidae. The record is from RefSeq and is a predicted model, not a curated record. The transcript has a single exon.